CCAGCAGCCGCGGUAAUUCCAGCUCCAAUAGCGUAUAUUAAAGUUGUUGCAGUUAAAAAGCUCGUAGUUGGACUUCUGGCAGGGCGCCGCGUGCCACAGUAGUGCGUACAAGGGCCCGGCCAUCCUUCUGUAAACGUCGCGGAGGUUCACUCGUCCGCGGUGGGACCAGUUAAUUUACCUUGAGAAAAUUAGAGUGUUUCAGGCAGGCGUAGCCGGAAUACAUUAGCAUGGAAUAAUGGAAUAGGACUUAGUCUCUUUGUUGGUUCGAGGGACUGGAGUAAUGAUUAAUAGGGAUAGUUGGGGGCAUUAGUAUUUAUUAGCUAGAGGUGGAAUUCUCUAAUUUGAUAAAGACUAACUUAUGCGAAAGCAUUUGCCAAGGAUGUUUUCAUUAAUCAAGAACGAAAGU
RNAcentral lists this ribosomal RNA (406 nucleotides) under uncultured eukaryote. RNAcentral describes it as "SSU rRNA". It matches the Rfam family "Eukaryotic small subunit ribosomal RNA", at positions 567 to 990 of the family's 1831-position model. The record is from RNAcentral.